Molecule: non-coding RNA, 31 nt
Filed under: Rattus norvegicus (Norway rat)
Lineage: Eukaryota; Metazoa; Chordata; Mammalia; Rodentia; Muridae
Source: RNAcentral
UGUUUGGAUUAAAGGCCUGUGCUACCAAGCA